GAUGAACCGGAAUACAUGUGUGUUA
This 25-nucleotide non-coding RNA is filed under the name Rattus norvegicus (Norway rat). Lineage: Eukaryota; Metazoa; Chordata; Mammalia; Rodentia; Muridae. The record is from RNAcentral.